UAAUUUCUUUUUUUUACAUUUAUUCAUUUUUAAGUUUAGGAAAUUGUUCAUAAGCCUUGAUAAAUGAAAAAUUAUUAAAUUUUAAUCAUGCAAAUGAUAUAUUUUUUGGAACCAUGCAGCCAUUUAAGUGCCAAACCACUUUGACAUUUUGUUAUCAUAACAAUUAUUUGAUCAUCAUUGAUAUUUAUUGAAUAAAUUUUAUUACAAUGUUGCUUCAUAUAUUAUAGUUCAAGAAAAAAUCAAAAAUUUAUUUUUAAAAUCAGUGUUUUCUUGUUCAGAGAAAAAUAAUCUCAAAACUGAAUUGUGACUUUUUGUCCUGUGACUUUUCGUCCGUGACUUUUUGUCCUGUGACUUUCUGUCCUGCAUUCUUCUUGAAGAGGGGGGAGAGUGCACUUCACGAUAAUCGAAAAAAGUGCCUUGCACGUUAUUUUCAUCUUCUUGUCUGAAACAGUCUGAAUAAUGAGCUCCAAGGCGAAGCGUGAAAACAAUAAGUCAUGUGAAGUACUAAUGACAAACACGUUGUACGGACAAACCCUUAAAUCCCUCAAUGUUAUGUCAAAUGAAUUAUAGCGAGGAAAGGUAAAUUUAAUCUAAUAUCAAAACUAAAUAUUUGUUAUAUUUCGCUCCUGAUUUCUCAAGAAAUCAUAGAAUCAAUAAAUGUAUAAAUUUUAAUUAUGCAUGUCUGUGUGAGAUCCAUUUCAUGAGACCAAGGAUUUCUAUAAAAUCCUUGAUGGGACCCUUUAUAUAUACAGUUUUCUAUUUUCUCCGGAAAUUUUUUUUAAAAAAUAUAAUCUUUUGGGAAAUAAUCCGAUUUUGUUGAAUUAUUUCCCUUCAUAAUUACGAUAAAUCCUUUUAGUUCUUCAAUUUUAAAUUAAAAUACAUAUUUCAUUUUGAUCUAACGACAAACUUUUUAAAUUGUAGUGGCAUGGUCAGUCAACUGAUUAGUUGCAUGGCUGAUUACCAGUUUACGGGCGACCCAGUAAUUUUCCAUAUAACAGUGGCCUGUACCCUUGGGGUCUUCUUCUGACCGGCAAUCAUGUGAAAACCUUAGCAGUAAUGAAAGUGGAACGUCCAGUGGGCUGUGCUCAGCCACGUCCGAAUGGGGACGUUGAAUUCUUGCAACAACUCUUCGAGUGGACUGACAAGAACUAUAGAAGAUACAGAGAAAUUAUAAACAGCAGAAAUGAUAGGCAAUUUAAAAUUUGCAGAAGUCAACAAAUCCUAAAUGGUGAUCAGACAUCUUGGUUUUCAUGAUCAAUAGGUCAAUACUGAAGAGGACACUGAAAGUUGAUAUCUAUCUACAUGGUGCGCUAAUUGGAUUAAUGUGAAAUGGAAUGUGUGCUUGCCUGCAAAAAAGAAAUAGGAAAUUUCAUCAUAAUCACAUGAUAAUGGCUAUAAACAAAAUGGAGUUCUAUCAUAGAUGCAGAAAUUCACAAUUGUAUACAUGUAAAUGCAACAACAUAUUAUAUAUAUUUGUCGAAAGAAGGGAGAAAUGAAGAGAAGAUAGUAUUUUGUUGUUGAAAGGAACACAAGCUUUAUCCACUCAUUACAUCCUCUCCUCAUAUCAAAUAUACUGAAGAAGAUCUUCGAAGAACAAAUUGCAAAAAUGUUUUCUCUAAGAAUUGAAGGAAAUUGUUUAUCAUGUUUAUUGAAUGGAAUAAUUUAUGCAUUGAACUUUUACGUAGUGGAUUGAAUAACUGUACACACAUGACACAGCAGCUGAAACAGAGGAAAAUUAAAAUUUACAGGAAAAGUGUUUAUUUUAUUAUUUAAUUUGCAAAUAUGAACGCAUUCUUAAGAACACCACAAAUGGUAUGACAUUCAAAUUGGUUGCUUAUUAAUGUAUACAAUUGAAACAAUAACAAAGAAAACAGAAUACUUUGCUACAAAAAAUAUUUUAUAAAUCAAAGUUAAAGUCAUAUAAAGUAUGUACAAUACCUUGACCUAAACAGUCAGACUCACUGUAUUGUUUUUGUAUGUCAUGAUAAUUUUGAGGCAAAAAUUUAUUAAAGUUUUAAAUAUCA
Molecule: long non-coding RNA, 2024 nt
Organism: Mytilus californianus (California mussel)
Lineage: Eukaryota; Metazoa; Mollusca; Bivalvia; Mytilida; Mytilidae
Exons: 4
Source: RefSeq, a predicted model, not a curated record